UGAGUAUGGCCUUGUUUUUACUGUUAGUAGAGGGUCUGCAUUUAAAUUGCUUGCCGAGUAUUAUCCAUUUCAAUCAAACAAGAAGUUGUUGACCAUGUUUGAUCAUGAGAGUCAGUCUGUGAAUUGGAUGGCUCAACGUGCCAAGGAGAAAGGUGCUAUGAUUAGUAGUGCUUGGUUUAAAUGGCCUACCUUAAAACUAUGUUCUAAGGAGCUGAGGAAGCAGAUUUGUAAUAAAAAGAAGAGGAAGAAGAAUUCUGCAGUUGGGCUUUUUGUGUUUCCUGUUCAGUCUAGAGUAACUGGGGCCAAGUAUUCUUACCAGUGGAUGUCACUUGCUCAACAAAAUAGUUGGCAUGUUUUGCUGGAUGCUGGGUCAUUAGGUCCAAAGGAUAUGGAUUCACUAGGGCUUUCCUUGUUCAGGCCAGAUUUUAUUAUCACAUCAUUUUACAGGGUGUUUGGUUCUGACCCAACUGGGUUUGGGUGUCUUUUGAUCAAGAAAUCUGUAAUGGCAAACCUGCAGAAUGAGAGUGGCCGUACUGGGUUGGGAAUGGUGAGGAUUCUCCCUGUUUUCCCUCAGUAUUUGGGUGAUUCUAUGGACGGUCUUGAUGUUUUUACUGGAAUGGAGAAUGAUGCCAUGAAUGGUAGUGAAGAUGCAGAGUCUGAAACGCGUGGGGAGUCACAAAUGCCUGCCUUUUCAGGUGUACUCACUACCAACGAGGUCAGGGAUGUCCUUGAGAACGAGAUGGAACAUGAUAGCAGCUCAGACAGAGAUGGGGCAAGCACCGUAUUUGAGGAGGCUGAGAGCAUUUCGGUUGGGGAUGUUAUGAAAAGUCCAAUUUUCAGUGAGGAUGAGUCAUCAGAUAAUUCAUACUGGAUCGAUUUGGGUCAGAGUCCAUUGGCAUCUCAUAACUCUGGGCAAUUAACCAAACAGAGAACAGGUUCACCUUUGCUAUCUACCUGGUUCUUGCGCAAGAAGAGACAUAAUCAACUAUCAACAAGGCCAACAUCAAAAAUGUAUAAGAACCCAAUUUAUGAUGAUGAUCAUCAUCACAGAUUCCAUAAUGAUCCUGCUUUGUCUGUUGAUGAAACUGUAUUAUCAGUGUCACAGGAUCUUGACCUUACCAAAGGAAUCUCUGAAGAACAACGGUUUGCUGAAACAGAACAUACACUCAGCAAUGGAGAAAAAUAUGCCAAUUUGAAGCACGCUGGAGAGAUUCAAGUGGACACUGAAAUUGGGGAUGGGCCAAUAUUGAGCCUUCGUUAUCAUAACCUUGAAGGUGUCUCAGCCUCUGAAAUUAGCCAAGAAGCCAAAGAAAGUGCUAUAAGGAGAGAGACAGAAGGUGACUUCAGAUUGUUAGGGAGGAGAGCAAGAGGAAGGUUUUUUGGUUUGGAAGAGGGAGAUCAUCUAGCUAGCACAAGACACACAGUAUCUUUCAGCAUGGAAGACAACCGUAGAGAACACUCAAGUAACUUGGAGCCAAAGGAAAUAUCUUUAACUACUUUUGGUGAUGAGGCGUCCAUAAGUGAUGGAGAAUAUGGCGAUGAACAAGAGUGGGGAAGGAGUGAGCCAGAGAUAAUAUGCCGGCAUCUUCAUCACAUCAAUCUAUUGGGUCUCAACAAAACUACUCUCAGACUUCGUUAUCUCAUCAAUUGGCUUGUUACCUCCUUACUUCAACUUCGGUUUCCUUCUUCAGAAGUGCCUCUUGUACAGAUAUAUGGCCCUAAAAUAAAAUAUGAAAGGGGUGCAGCUGUAGCUUUCAAUGUGAGACAGAGCACUGGAGGACAACUAAUUCAUCCAGAAGUUGUUCAGAAGUUGGCUGAUAAAAAUGGAAUCUCUCUAGGCAUUGGCAUCCUGAACCAUGUAAGGAUAGUUGACAGCCCAAAACAACAUUGUGGGGGUUUUGAUUUUGAAGACGCAGCAUUGUGCAAGCCAAUGGCUAGUGCCCACCAUGACAGUAAAGAUGUGUUUUACCGAGUGGAGGUUGUUACUGCAUCACUUGGAUUUCUAACAAACUUUGAAGAUGUUUAUAAGAUGUGGGCAUUCAUUGCUGGAUUUCUUAAUCCAUCAUUUGUUGAAGAUGACAAAUUAUCUGCAGUUCCUGAGGAUUCAGAAGCAUAGGAGCUGGAAAAUUAUUUGAAGGAUUUUUGUUUCGUUUUGAAGCAAUAUGGACCCCUCCAUUGCCUUUUGCUAUAUAUCAUGAAGGAAGAUAUAGUCAUGGUUAAUGCUCGAGUCUGCAGCAUAGGACAAUGAUGUUGAAGCAAUGAAUAAAGGAAGCAAAGGCAUGUUUUUGUGCGGUCUCUUGCUUAGGGUCUUUCACUCUUUCACGAGCCUUUCCAUGAGCAGCAGAUAAUUUUUUAAUUCUUCUUGUUGCAUCUUGGAUUGCAAUAUUUUGUAUUAGUAGUAUUCAGUUUCAUGUAGAGUUUGAUCUAUAAACAUAUAUCAGUUGAGGCAGUUAUUCAAAACUAGAAAAAAGAAUGGAAUGUGUGAGGAUUUUCUGUUGUAGUUCAGAUUUCUGUUCCAUUUUUGGUUCAAUUUUCUACUUUGCAUUAUGUAUCAUGUGGAUGUUUGCUGCUAUGGUAUUCUAUCCAUGGCUGUUUAGUUCAAAUUUUUUCUUCAGUGUUCG
Molecule: unclassified non-coding RNA, 2621 nt
Filed under: Hevea brasiliensis (rubber tree)
Lineage: Eukaryota; Viridiplantae; Streptophyta; Magnoliopsida; Malpighiales; Euphorbiaceae
Source: RNAcentral